This 75-nucleotide transfer RNA is filed under the name Priestia megaterium. Its description in RNAcentral is "tRNA-Cys". It matches the Rfam family "tRNA". From Rfam's summary of the family: Transfer RNA (tRNA) molecules are approximately 80 nucleotides in length. Their secondary structure includes four short double-helical elements and three loops (D, anti-codon, and T loops). Further hydrogen bonds mediate the characteristic L-shaped molecular structure. tRNAs have two regions of fundamental functional importance: the anti-codon, which is responsible for specific mRNA codon recognition, and the 3' end, to which the tRNAs corresponding amino acid is attached (by aminoacyl-tRNA synthetases). tRNAs cope with the degeneracy of the genetic code in two manners: having more than one tRNA (with a specific anti-codon) for a particular amino acid; and 'wobble' base-pairing, i.e. permitting non-standard base-pairing at the 3rd anti-codon position. RNAcentral also lists the same sequence under 1 other name. The record is from RNAcentral. Lineage: Bacteria; Bacillati; Bacillota; Bacilli; Caryophanales; Bacillaceae.
GGCGGUGUAGCCAAGUCGGUAAGGCAAGGGACUGCAAAUCCUUGAUCCUAGGUUCAAAUCCUAGCGCCGUCUCCA